Molecule: transfer RNA, 72 nt
Filed under: Bos taurus (domestic cattle)
Lineage: Eukaryota; Metazoa; Chordata; Mammalia; Artiodactyla; Bovidae
Also listed under: 4 other names
Rfam family: tRNA
About the family: Transfer RNA (tRNA) molecules are approximately 80 nucleotides in length.
Source: Rfam by way of RNAcentral
UCCCUGAUGGUCCAGUGGCUAAGACGUCUGGCUCCCAAUGCAGGAGCCCUGGUUUGAUUCCUGGUCUGGGAA